CAAGAGGUAGCUUACCACACAAAGCAUUCCGCUUACAACCGAAAAACGCCCCAAAGGGCCCCCUUGA
This 67-nucleotide transfer RNA is filed under the name Gehyra marginata. RNAcentral's name for it is "tRNA-Val". Lineage: Eukaryota; Metazoa; Chordata; Lepidosauria; Squamata; Gekkonidae. The record is from RNAcentral.